This 497-nucleotide ribosomal RNA is filed under the name uncultured bacterium. Its description in RNAcentral is "partial 16S ribosomal RNA". It matches the Rfam family "Bacterial small subunit ribosomal RNA", at positions 28 to 507 of the family's 1533-position model. The record is from RNAcentral.
GAUGAACGCUGGCGGCGUGCCUAAUACAUGCAAGUCGAGCGAACAGACGAGGAGCUUGCUCCUUUGACGUUAGCGGCGGACGGGUGAGUAACACGUAGGUAACCUACCUAUAAGACUGGGAUAACUUCGGGAAACCGGAGCUAAUACCGGAUAAUAUUUCGAACCGCAUGGUUCGAUAGUGAAAGAUGGCUUUGCUAUCACUUAUAGAUGGACCUGCGCCGUAUUAGCUAGUUGGUAAGGUAACGGCUUACCAAGGCAACGAUACGUAGCCGACCUGAGAGGGUGAUCGGCCACACUGGAACUGAGACACGGUCCAGACUCCUACGGGAGGCAGCAGUAAGGAAUCUUCCGCAAUGGGCGAAAGCCUGACGGAGCAACGCCGCGUGAGUGGUGAAGGUCUUCGGAUCGUAAAACUCUGUUAUUAGGGAAGAACAAACGUGUAAGUAACUGUGCACGUCUUGACGGUACCUAAUCAGAAAGCCACGGCUAACUACGUG